AACUUUAAUCUGCUUGUCUGCUGAUGGGUUGGGCUGAGUUCCUUCCCUGUUGGUUGUUUGGCCUGAGGCAACCCAACACUGGGGCCUACCCGGGUUCUUUGCUGUGGCUAAUGGUGGACUCCGGGAGGGCUCACGCCAAGGAGCACUUCCCAAAACUUCUGCUGCCAAUGUCCUUGUCCUCACAGUGAGACACAGCCACCCCCCGCCUCUGCAGGAGAUCCUCCAACACUAGCAGAGUAAGAGCCUCAUUGUAGAAGAAAAAGUCAAGUGGGAUCCUCUGAAACUACCCACCUCCCCAUCCAGCCAAGAUAGUAAAUAAAAAAACCAAGUCAUAUCUCAGAGGAGCAUGGAAGAGAUUAGAGCCAUCUUCAAAGCUUUAAAGGAUGCAGGGAUGGUAACUCCCAUUUACUUAUUCUGGCAUCUAUGAAAACCAGAUGGUGGAUGAUCAUGCAUUACUUAACUGUAACAAAGGAGUAGCCCCAAUUGCAGAUGCUGGGCUGGAUGUGGGACCUUUACUAAAGAAGAUUAACAGAGCCUCAAGUAUGUAGUGUUCAUUUGAUCUGGAUCCAUACUAUUUGGGCAUUUCACAAAAAUUACAUUGGUCCAUCAUUUUGAGGAAACAUGUUAAUGAGCAAAAUGUGCCAUGUUCCCCUGAUGCCUUGAUGAGACAUACAGAAUUCCAGAGGGUGAGAAGCCAACCCUAGAAAGAUCCAGAGGCCUGCCAGAUUAGCAUCGGUCAUGCAGGGCUAUCCCCUCCCAAGUACAAGCAAAAUGAAGAAAGGAAGAGGAAAUAAUUACGUUCUGCAUAAUAAUUAUGUUUUGGAAAGCCGCGUUAUAAAAUCACAAAAGAUUUGAAGAGAGGGUGAUACAGAUUUCUUCAGAUAAGGUUUUCCAUUUUUGGUCUUAAUAAAAUAAUUGAUGCCUGGCCUUCUGUUCCUGAUCUAAGAAGUUCUAGGUUCCCUUAAUUUCAAAAUGAUUACGCAAGACCCUCUCCAUUCCCAGAACCUUCUCAUGCUCACCAAAUUCUCUUUCUCGGAUACUCCCGUGCUGUCCCAUUAACAUCUCAAAUCCCAUUUCUCAGAUACCCCAGGAAAACAACAACAGAGAGAAGCCUUGUAAGGGAAUGGCUAAGAGCAUGGACCCUUAUGCUAGGCUAGCUCUACCACUUACUACCUGUAUAACAUUGGGCAAGUUGGCUAAGCUCUCUGUGCUUCAUUUUCCCAUCUGUAAAAUGGGGAUAGUAACAGUAUGUACCUCAUAGAGUUAUUAGGAGGAUUAAGUGAUUUAAUCUUUCUAAAGUACUUAGAAUAGUAGGAGUAGGUAUUAUAUGAGUGUUGUUAAAUAAAAUUUUAUCUAAUAAAGUUUAAUCCUGAUUUUUACUUUUUCUCUCCAAAAUCAGAAGGAUUUCUAUCCCAUAAAUCCAGUAGAAGAAAUUGUUAGUAAUUUUUAAUGCCUUUUAUAUAAAUAAAGUAUCUAAUAAAUAUCUUUAUCACAGAUUAUAAACAAACUAGAUGUCCAACAAUAUACAAAUUGCUAAAACUUCAGAUAUUUAAGUGACAUAAUCUAUUUUCAAUAUGUUUAAGUGAAAAAAAGUAGGUUACAUAAAAAUAAUAUGUAUUAUGAUUCCAUUUUUUAAUUGAAACAAUAUGCAUCAUAUACAAAGGCCAAAAAGAGUCUGAACAGACAGACAACAAAAUGUUUGUAAUGGUUAUUUUUUGGUGAUGAAAUGAUGGAUGUUUUUUUAUUUUCUUCUUUUUGAAAAUCUGGAUCAUCUAAAUUAUCUCCAAGAAUCUUAAUUACUUAUUAAUAAAGGGAAACUAAAAAUUAAUAAUAAAAAUAUAGUUUAUGAUUGUGGAAAUUUAUUUUCUCUCCAUGGGAAUCUCUAAGGAAAGUGGAGAAAUAUAUUAAAUUCCUCUAAUUUAAUUCAAUAACAGCUUCCAUAAACUGGACAUUUAUUUAUUUAUUUAUUUAUUUAUUUUAUUUUUUGGCAGCACAACACAGCUUGCAGGAUCUUAGUUCCCUGACCAGGGGUCAAACCCUGGC
Delphinapterus leucas (beluga whale) is the source of this 2043-nucleotide long non-coding RNA. RefSeq lists it as uncharacterized. The record is from RefSeq and is a predicted model, not a curated record. Lineage: Eukaryota; Metazoa; Chordata; Mammalia; Artiodactyla; Monodontidae.